CAAUAAAGUUGGUGUUGGCCUUGCUGAGUAUAAUUUUUGUAGUGGCAGCACUCAGUUUGAUGGUGGUUGUUUAAGAGGGUGGGUGUGUCAUUUCUCUGCGAGUUACCAUGGCCGGCUUGCCUUAUCAGUGGGUGUAGUCAGCAUGGUUUAAAAAUUGUGUUUCAGACUUAUUUCGAAAUAUGGGGAAUUUUUAGCUAUUUUUGAGAAACAUAUGGAGGUUGGGAAGUUGUGAAAUAGGACAUGGUAAUCUUUUAUGUUUGAUUAGUUAUGCACAUGCAAGGGAGAAGUUGUGAAUAGGAGAUGUCUUUCCUCUUUUUUUUUUUUUUUUUUUUUUUUUUUUUUUUUUUUUAAUAUGCUCAAUGAGUUAGACACUUGCUAUUUCGUGAGUUAUUUCUUAAAAUAAGUGCCAAAAAAGUUUUGAAGGGGUCGCAUGUGAGUCAAUAGAAAGGGAAGACAAUGUGAGUCAAUAGAAAGGAAAGACAACUGGGAAUCAUUAAGUUUUAGUUACCGUUCAUAAGUGAAUGUUAUUUUUCCCUUCUGGCAGUGGGAUGGUUGGCUUUAAGAAAGAAGAAUGUAAUAUGUGAAUGUUAUUUUUCCCUUCUGGCAGUGGGAUGGUUGGGUUUAAGAAAGAAGAAUGUAAUAUCGAUCUUUUUUAAUUCCUUCCAGAUUACAUUAAAGGGGUAUUUGAUAGGCAUUUUUAUGUAAAAAUGUAUUUUAGAAUAGUAAAUUGAUGUGAAAUGUGUGGUUGAGAAAUAAAGAAAAGUUUUUGAUUUACGUGUAAUAUUAUUUUAAUAAAGAAUGUGUGAUUGAAAAGAAGAGAGAGAAAAAUACAUUUUGAAAAAAAUGGCUACCAAACGGGGCCUAGGUUUAAUUCCUUGCUCAUGGUUUUUUCAUUUGAAUUCAAUAGUUUUUCAUUUAUUUAUUAUUAUUAUUAUUAUUAUUUUUUGUGGGGUGGGAAUAAUCUUUACUCUUCGGUGUUCUGACUGAGAAAUUUUAGAUUAUGGGUGCAUAUGGUUAUGACAUUAAAAUAAAAGAGGUGUAAAUAUCUCAUUGGGAUGCAGGAUUACAAUAAGAUCAUCCGCUGCCUCUUGUUUGGGUAUCAAGAGAGUGAAUAUUAAGGUAAGGUUUAUGAUAACAUGAGCCAUUCCAUGCAGUCCCAUGGGGAAAAAAGAAAAAAGAGAAAUCGUAGCAAAAUAUACAUUAAAAUUCAACCUAAAGCUAAAUACACAUUGAAAUUCGUGCUACCUUUUAAGAUAUCUUGCAAUAUUUGCAAUUAUAAGGUGAAAGAGCUUUCAAAGAAUGAGAUGUUCAGUAUUUAGUACUUGAAGUUGAAGGUUAAAGUCAACAAUUAAUUUUAAAAACAUGAAUCUACAACUUUUAUUAACUUUUCAACCACAAAUUUCUUCAAACUUUUAUCAAAAUCUGCUAAAAAUUCCAUUGGAAGCUUUGUCAAAACAACCCCUUAUUAAUCAUUGAUGAUAUGAUUGGUAUGGAGAUCAGAUAAUGGACAAUAUUAAUGAAAAAUAAGAAGCUAUAAUUUUCGUCAUUUAGUCCUACCCUGUACUAAUGUACCAAACAUGCACCGAAGGUUAACAUAUUGAGCACUGUAGUGCAGAAGUAAAAAGUUCAAAACUGCAUUCCAUUUUGGCAUCUUGAUCUCAAAAAUGAGUGCAUUUUGGUGGUUUUCAUGUCUUGUUUCUCAAAAACCUCUUCCUUUCCUCAUUUUCUUAUAUUUGUCAUAUGUCCUUUCAUCAAUAAUCUUGGAGGUAUCUUUAUGCAUCAAUAGGGUGGUGACUGUCCUGUCGAUGCCAACAGAGGGGUUUUCUUGAAUUUUCUACCAUUUGAUAUUCGGUAAGUAUAAUCAUUUUUCUUAUUUUAAUGAUGAUUGCAGAAUACAGCCAUCGCCAUCAACAGACAAUGGUCAAGAGAAAACCAGGAGAUACGAAUUUAUACAGGGAUUA
RNAcentral lists this long non-coding RNA (1961 nucleotides) under Olea europaea (common olive). RNAcentral's name for it is "long non-coding RNA (OEUR_LNC010742)". Lineage: Eukaryota; Viridiplantae; Streptophyta; Magnoliopsida; Lamiales; Oleaceae. The record is from RNAcentral.